GCAGUCAAGCGAGGCUGGGGGGCACUCCCAAGUCGAGCGGCUNAACGGGUGAGUAACGCGUGGAUGACCUGCCCUUUAGUGGGGAACAACCAGGGGNAAACUCUGGCUAAUACCGCAUAAGACCGAAAGGUGAAAGGGGGCCGCAAGGCUCUCGCUGAAGGAGGGGUCCGCGUCCGAUUAGCUAGUUGGUAGGGUAAUGGCCUACCAAGGCGACGAUCGGUAGCCGGCCUGAGAGGGUGAUCGGCCACACUGGAACUGAGACACGGUCCAGACUCCUACGGGAGGCAGCAGUGGGGAAUUUUGCGCAAUGGGCAAACGCCUGACGCAGCAACGCCGCGUGGAGGAUGAAGGUCUUUGGAUUGUAAACUCCUGUCAGCGGGGNAAAAAGGGACCUGGGCUAAUACCCUAGGGACUUGAUUGUACCCGCAGAGGAAGCCCCGGCUAACUCUGUGCCAGCAGCCGCGGUAUUACAGAGGGGGCAAGCGUUAUUCGGAAUUAUUGGGGCGUAAAGGGCGCGUANGCGGCUUUUGCAGUGGCGGGUUGAAAUCCCUCGGCUUAACCGAGAACUGCCUGCCANACUGUGANGCUUGANACCNGGGA
Molecule: ribosomal RNA, 600 nt
Filed under: uncultured Thiorhodovibrio sp.
Lineage: Bacteria; Pseudomonadati; Pseudomonadota; Gammaproteobacteria; Chromatiales; Chromatiaceae
Description: bacterial SSU rRNA
Rfam family: Bacterial small subunit ribosomal RNA
Source: RNAcentral